GCCAUUGACUAGCUCAACUAGCACAAACCCGUGCCAGAACUAUGUGUGUACUAGGAUUGGAUGGUGUUUCUACCCCCAACAAGAACUAAGUGACACUGGAAAGAGAACAGAAAUAAUCUUUGGAAUAUAGGCAUUGCUAGUUCAAGAACCAACAGUCAAAGAAUACUGGCACUUUAAGAGGAAUGAAGUUUCCACUGUCAUUUAAAACAAGCAUUCAGGUAAAGCUAAAAGGAUCAUGAAGCAGAAAGUAAAGUAAUGCUAAACCAAAUGCUAAUAAUUUAGUGUAAUGUACAAAAAUUACUUAAGUACUUCUUAAGAAUAAGGAUAAACUGUAUUUACAUAAUUA
Pezoporus occidentalis (night parrot) is the source of this 346-nucleotide long non-coding RNA. RefSeq lists it as uncharacterized. The transcript is spliced from 2 exons. Lineage: Eukaryota; Metazoa; Chordata; Aves; Psittaciformes; Psittacidae. The record is from RefSeq and is a predicted model, not a curated record.